AAUCAACGCUGGCGGCGUGCCUAACACAUGCAAGUCGAACGAGAAAGUCCCCGCAAGGGGAUGAGUAAAGUGGCGACCGGGUGAGUAACACGUGGCCAACCUACCCUCGAGCGGGGGAUAACCUGGGGAAACUCGGGCUAAUACCGCAUAACAUCCUGGUGACAUAAGCCAUCGGGAUCGAAGGCCCGCAAGGGUCACUUGAGGAGGGGGCUGCGGCCGAUUAGCUAGUUGGUGAGGUAACGGCCCACCAAGGCAAUGAUCGGUAGCCGGCCUGAGAGGGCGCACGGUCACACUGGCACUGAAAUACGGGCCAGACUCCUACGGGAGGCAGCAGUGGGGAAUUUUGCACAAUGCCCGAAAGGGUGAUGCAGCAACGCCGCGUGAGGGAUGAAGGCCUUCGGGUCGUAAACCUCUUUCGACUGGGAAAAAUGGGCGGGUGAAUAACCCGUUCUGAUGGUACCGGUGGAAGAAGCCCCGGGCAACUACGUGCCAGCAGCCGCGGUAAUACGUAAGGGGCGAGCGUUGUUCGGAA
This 532-nucleotide ribosomal RNA is filed under the name uncultured soil bacterium. RNAcentral describes it as "bacterial SSU rRNA". It matches the Rfam family "Bacterial small subunit ribosomal RNA", at positions 28 to 550 of the family's 1533-position model. The record is from RNAcentral.